RNAcentral lists this transfer RNA (77 nucleotides) under Candidatus Roizmanbacteria bacterium. Its description in RNAcentral is "tRNA-Ala". It matches the Rfam family "tRNA". Rfam says of the family: Transfer RNA (tRNA) molecules are approximately 80 nucleotides in length. Their secondary structure includes four short double-helical elements and three loops (D, anti-codon, and T loops). The record is from RNAcentral. Lineage: Bacteria; Candidatus Roizmaniibacteriota.
GGGCCUGUAGUUCAGCUGGCUAGAACAUCUCAUUUGCAAUGAGAAGGUCACCGGUUCAAGUCCGGUCGGGUCCACCC